GCACGUGUUUGGUUUCAGCCACAGUUGUGGUGGACAAUCCCGUGUCAACCUCAUGCCGCCUCAAGGUGGCUGCUUUCUGCCCCAGGAGCCUCUCCAACAUCUCAGGAGCCUGUUUGGUCCAGCACACAGCCGGGAAGUGCAGGAGGCCACCUUCAGUCAGUGGGAGAUGGGACCCUGUGGAAAGAUGCUCCAGCCUCCUGUCCUUUGGAUGGACCACUCUGGGAAGCAGCCUGUACACUUCUCAGGACAUCCUGCCUACAGCGGCAACCUUGAUAUUUACCAAGGGUCUGCUGAGUGCUGAGGAGUGUACCACGGACUAGAAUGACAAGGAAGAAAGACCUCAGUAAUGCCUUAUAUGGGGUGGUAGGUGAGGCCUGGGGGAGCUUGGAAAGGAAUCAGCAAUGAAAACUCAUGCCACAAAUGCUGAAAAUGGGGGCAACAGGUGAUGCAACCUGGGCUGUGGCAGGGAAGGGCCACACCUGAGCAAACAGUAAGUCUGGGAUCAGCUGAGAUGAAGGCUGUGCCGAAGUGUUUAUGACUCUUCAUGCCUUAUCAUCCCUUCCUGUUGCAACGGAGUGCGCCCCUGCCAUCUGUUUGUACAGACGCUUAUAAAACAACACGGCCUCGUGCCUUGCUUGCUCAUAGCCUUGGGAAUAUCGAUACAGUGCUCCUGGCUGGACAACUUGCUUCCUGCUUCCCCCGCUGAGUGUUCCCACCUCAUGUGGCCCUCUGUCUCAGGUUGGAGGGGGACCCAGAACAGAGAGUAAGGAACCACGAACCCAAAGUCACCCAGCAAGUCAUGGCAGGGUGGGGCUGACUGCAAUUCAAGGCUAUAGGUAUUUAUUAUGGGCCUAAAAUGGGCAAGGUCUAACGCUGGGCCAGGAAUAGGCAUUUCUCCAAACCCUACUGUGCAGGGACCUGCUAUCAGGCACAGAGAGGGAAGAAAAAGGAAGGACACCAUCACACCACCACUGUUGCCACCAUUAUCAUCAUCAUUAUCAUCACUGUUAUGGGCUGAGCUGUAUCCUCCCCAAAAAUGUUAAAGUCCUAACUCCCAGUACACAGAAUGUGACCUUAUUUGGAAAUACGGUCUUUGCAGAUGAUCAAGUUAAGAUGAAGUCAUUAGGAUGGACCCCAACCCAAUAUGACCAGUAUCCUUAUAAAAAAUUUAAACACAGAGAGAGACACAUAUUGGAAGAAUGCCACGUGAACCUGAAAGCAGAGAUCAAGGUAAUAGGUCUACAAGCCAAAGAACGCCAAAGAUUGCCAGCAAACCACCAGAAGCAAGGAGAGAGACACGGAACAGAUUCUGCCUCAGACUCUCAGAAGGAACCAACCUUGUCGACACCUUGGUCUCAGACUUACAUGUACUGUGAGACGAUAAACAACUGUGAGACAAUGAAUUCCUGUUGUUUAGGCCACCCAGGUUGUGGUACUUUGUUAGAGCAGCUCUAGGAAACUAGUACAAUCUCUAUCACCAGCAGCACCAGCGGCAGUGCCACCACCAUCAUCUGCACCAUCAUCGUCAUUGCCACCACCCUUAUCAUUAUCACCGUCACUACCACCAUCACUCCCAUUGCCACAAUCAUCAGCACCACCACCAGCAUCAUCACGGUCACUUAACUCACCACAUGCUGUCACUGUUCUGAGCACUUUAUUUCUAGGAGCUCAUUUAACCCUCGCAACAAUGCUAUGAGGUAGGUACUGUUACCAUCCCCAUUUUUCAUAGACUAUGAAACUGAAGGUCAGAAAGGUUAAAUCAUCUUCCCAAGGCCACACAGCCAGAAAAUGUCUGUGCACGGGCCUCAGCAUUCCUCCAGGACUGCUUCUUUCCUCUCACCUCGACAGCCAUCUUUCUCCCCAGCUGUCAGCUGGUGUGUAUGUGUCCUGUGCUCAUCUCAUUCCGCCAGAAGUCUGCUUUAAUUGAGCAGAUGCUUUGGCAUCGUUCCCGUGCUUCUCAGGCCGUUAGGAACAUGCAGGAGCACGUGGGAAUCAUGAACCGGGGCAGUGCCGUGCAUGGAGUCCUGCCCCCAGGCCUGGUUCACUCUUUGCCCUUGGAGUGCCUAUGUCCCCGCAGACAAGACUGUCCCAGCCUUGAUGCCAGCAACCAUCAGCAGAGGUGUCAAUCACCUUUGGAUGCAGUAUCCACGUGGAUUAUGAUGGAGUUUUAUUGCUCCAGUUGAUAACCACAGGCAUUAACCACGUACAUAGUAAUCAUGACUCAGAAGGAAAUCAACCUGAGCUGUACGCAGGUAUUCCUAACGGCUAUCAGAAAGGGCCUAGGGGGUGUUUGAAUUUCCACUAGCAAUCAGACGUAUGGUUCUUCACAUUUCCCACUGUGCCUGGAAGCAUUCUUCCCACAUCAAAAUGCUUCCAUCAAUGUUUGUUGAAUUGUUUUGACACAUUUCAAACGCAACCAGAGCCCCUAAUCUUUUUUAUUUAUCAAAUUUACUUGUCCUUUUCCCCUCUCUUCUCAUCUUUAUCUAAUAUUUAUUUCUUGUGGAAAGGGUAGAUGAUGAUCAGUUUCAAAAGCUGUAAUGGUUUUCUCAGGUUUGGGCCUGUAGGUGAUGCUUUUAUAGACUAUUGUCCAACUGUUUGCAGAACCUAUAGCUGUUUGCAGAACCUGCAGGUGCUCGCAGACUGCAGAGCUUGUCGCUUUUUGCAAAGCCUAUAGCAGUUCAAAAAUCCCACUGCUGUUUGCAGAGCCUAUCCCUAUUUGCAGAGCCUCUAGUUUGCAAAUGUUUAAAAAUUUUAAAUCACAAUUUAAAAUUGGAAAUGUUUUAAAAUAUGCAUCUGUUUGCAGAACUUGAAGGUGUUUACAGAGCCUACAACUGUUUGUAGAGCAUGCAGCUGUUUGUGGAGCUCUUCAUUAUUUGCAGAUGCUAUAGUUGUUUGCAAACCUUGUUGAAGUUGAUCAGUAUGCCUGCUGGAUGCUUGGCUUCUGACUGGGCUUUUCUCCCUGAGUUAAUAAGGGGUACAUCUUAUUAAAGCACAGACUGUGUGUCCAGUGUGAUGCCAACAGAUUCAAAAGAUACAGAGUUCAAAGAAAGGCCCCUGGAAGAAGAGGUUUUCCAUACAGUGGAGGAACAACUAUGGAGCAUAUAUGGGCCACCCUGAGAAAAAUCCACAAAGACGCACAGGGUUGGGAGGAUGUGAACUUCUAAAGGAUCAGUCCAACUCGUCCCCACAUACAUCUGGAACAGCACAGCUCCAUCUAUGCUGUACCCCAUUCUCACCCCAUGCCCACAGCCUUCAAGCUGCACCCCACCCUCUGUAUCAUCCUAAAUUACACAACAACCACUGUCCUUCCCUGUCCUCAUUAAAACUCCUUUCUCUCCGGGUCCUGAUCCUAGCUAACCCUCGAGGAGAAAAGGGAACAGAUUUGCAACACUUUCUUAGCCACUGGGAUGUGCCACCAUGAAGGGACAUUAACAUUUUGAGAUAAGAACCUUGGAGGCUGCCAUGCCUUCGCCCAAUGGCACGCCCCCUGAUGGUGAGAUCCAGGCACAACGACAGGUAGCAAGCAUGACCUGAGUGCAUGGCAACCUGUCUGCCCAAGGAGAAGGUUUGCCUUGCAGGUGAGCCCCACUUUUUGGCCGCAGUUGUAGUCUGAUUGAAUCUUUGUUAAUCGAAUCCUCUUUUUCCCGUGACUCAUAUGCCCAUUUCAGAGCAAGGAUGCACCCGGAAUGAAAAGUGGCUCCAGUCUAGGCAUGAGCUGCAGGACGAUUCAGUGGGUCCCAGGCAGUGAUUUUCACUGAACAGGAAGGUCUGCUCUCUACAUGUUCCUACGUGUUUGUUUUCUUAAACUUCUGCUUGGACUCUGACUCAAUACAUGGAAUUGACGGCUGUUUCAAUUCCAGUUCUUCCCUGGUUCUGUCUCCCCCUGGCACAGGUUUGCAUCCUUGUCUCAGUGAAGAUUUUUCUUCCUCUCCAAGAGCCAUGGCUGCUAACAGUUUGGUUUUCCAGCCUGAGAGCAGGAGUGAGGCAGUUUGAUCCACUUGGGAGAAGACAACUGCCAUCUGGGCACGGUGACCCCUGAAUCUGUCCCUUCAGAUUCCUGAAUUCCUGGUCCUUCAUCCCCACUGCCCUCUGGGCUUCUUCACCCAGGUGUGCCAAGAGCACCUUACACAUGAAAAGCCCCAAGGCGAGCUCAUUCUCUCUCCCCUCUGCUCUACUCUCUCUGCCUUAUUCCUUACUUUGCAAUCCACCCAGUUGUCCAGGUAAGAUGAAUCCUUUCCCUCUAGUCCUGAUAAUCCUACCUCCGAAAUGUCCCUUACUCUCUACCUUCCACUGACGGUGCAGCAUCCCCAUCUCAUCCUUACCAGAGCGAGGCAGCAGCCUCCUUCCGGCUGUCACCAGUGCCCACCUCCAAUCCAGACCCCAAGGAUCAGCAUUCAGUCAGUCUACAAAUAUUUAUGGAGCACCCAUAAUGUGCCCAUCACGAGGGACACAGCAGAGAACAAGACAGACACAGCUAUGCUUCAAGGAGCUUAUAGUCAGUAGGGUCUUUCUUUUAGUACUUAUCUGGAAAGAAUGCUUCUCUCUGUUUGGUUUUUAAUGUUUUUAAUACACAAGCAAGAGGUGUUCAUUGAGAAAGAACUAGAAAAUGCACUUAAGCAUAACCAAGAAAAUAACGAUCCCUUCUUUUUUAUGGAGAUAUAAUUGACAUAUAACAUUGAGUGAGUUUGAGGGCUGCAAUGUGUUGAUAUGAUACAUUUAUAUAUUACAACAUGAUUACCACUGUAGCAUAGUUAACACCUCUAUCAUGUUACAUAAUUAUCAUUUGUUUCUUGUGGCCAGAACAUUCAAGAGCUAGUCUCUUAACAACUUUGUAAAAAUUACUCUUAAACCUACCACUCGUUCCACGCCCUACUACCAUCCACCCCCCUCCCCUAAAAAACAUUGUUAACCUUUUGGUGUACAGUCAUGUGUUGCUUAAUGACAGGGAUACAUUCUGAGAAAUGUGUCGUUAGGCAAUUUCAUCAUUGUGUAAACAUCAGAGAGGAUAUUUACACAAACCUAGAUGGUAUAGCCUACUGCAUACCUAGCCUAUAGGACACUAAUCUCGUGGGACCACCGUCAUAUAUGCCGUCUGUUGUUAACUGAAAUGUCAUUAUGUGGCACGUGACUGUAUUUCUUUCCAGACGUUUUUCUUUUUCUUAUUUGAAUGUUUUAAAACACCAUGGGUGUCUCUUCUCACCUCGAAUGUGUUUAUUUAUUCAGCAAACGUUUCUUAUUAAGCACCACUAUAUGCUGGGCACCGGGCUAGGUGCUGGGGAUAGAGAUGGGCAAUCUAGCGGAGGAGACAGACAGCAAGCAGAGUCACACACACUGAUAUAUGAUUCUCCACUGUGAUGGUGCUCAUGAAGCCAGGGUUCAGGGAAGCAUGAGUGCGUAUGGUGGGGCCACGAGCUCAUCACGGGGACUUGAGCAGAUCAGGGAAGCUUCUCCAAGGCAGAGUAGGGCUUGCCAAGAUAAGGUAGAGGGGAGAGUGUUUGGGCAGGUAAAGACUGAAUUCAUGAGCAGGCCUGACUUGUCUAUUAGCUUUAGUGGGUACAGUGUCCAGGACCCACCAUACUAAAAGGAACCCAUGAAAGUGUUUUGAUUUCUUUUAAAGUUAGAAGAAAAAAAUGAACUUUUAGGUUGAAGAAUAUGUUUUAAAUAUAACAUUCACGCCCUGGUUUUUAUAUUAAUACAUUUGUAAAAUAUACUUUAUAGAGGAAGGGACCCACAGAGACAGACGUGCCCCUGAAAGUCACAAUGUGGUCCUGGUGUGAAGGCCCACGUGGCUGAAGCAGACAGCAUGGACUGAGAAGAUGACGGGAGAUGUGGGCAGGGGUUCGAUCUGAGGCCAUGGUAGGAAAUAGGACUUUAUCCAUGAGCAACGGGAAAACAGAGAAAUGACAAGAUUCUUUAAAUACUUCGUUUAAUCUCUAAAAAGAAAAUGUCCUUUUUUGAAACCGCAAUACCGUAUUACACCUUAAAAAUAUUAACAUCUGGCAACAAAUGAUGAUGAUGGUUGCGUAACAUUGUGAAUGUACUUAAUGCCACUGAAUUGUACAUUUAAAAAUAGUUAAACUGGUAAAAUUUAUGUUAUGUAUAUUUUACCACAAUUUAAAAAAAGUACAGGCAACAGAUAGCCACUGGGGGAAAAAAUUAACAAAAACUCCUUAAUAUCAUCAAAUGUCCAUUUGGUGUUUGCAUUUCGAAUUGCCUCAUAAAUGUGACAAAUUGUUAAGCUGUUUUGCUUUUGUUUUCUACUGUUUGAAUCAAGAGCCAAAUAAGGUCUACACUUGUAAUUGAUUGCUCUCUUUAAGUCUCUUGUCAUCUAUAGGUUCUGUUCGAUCUUUCUCCCUCCCUCCCGUCUUUUCUUUUCUUCUUCCUCUUCUUCUUACUUAUUUUUUAAGGAAACCAAGUUGUUUGACCUGCAUCUUGUAGAUUACAUUCUUAUGGUAUAGUUUACCAUAUUCCUCUGUCCCUUGUUUUUCCUAUACAGGUAGGGUCUGUAUUUCUCAAUGGCAGUUGGAUGUAGAGACUUGAUCAGAUCCAAGCUCAAUUUUUGGCAAGUCUACUGCAGGAGGUUGUCGGAUACAUCCACAGAUGGCACGUAAAGUCGGCUUUGUCUCUCUUCUGGGGAUGUUGACAGCCACGGAAGGUCACCACUUAGGACAUUGGUCUGUUAUGAGUUGGUGGCACUCUGGUGCCAGGUGCAGAGGGGAGAGCAGGUUGGAGGCUCAGGUGAGCCCAGCAUCUUUCUGUUCAUCCAGGGAAGGACUUGCUGGUGGAGAAAGGGGUGGCGGGGGUCCCUGGGCCUUUUUCUCUCCACCACUGCUGAGCACUGACAGUCCUCACCUCGGUAGGGAAUCUCUCCUGUAUGUGAAGCUGCUUCUGGCAAAUGAAGACAACCUCAGCCGGGCUUUCCUUUUGCCUUAGGUUUUUAGUUUUGACAUCAGGAGCACAGCUAGCACCGCUGCGCCCCAGCAGGUAAAAGCCUGGCUUUGGAGGGACACGGCACUGGGUGCUGGACCAGUAAAGCUCGCUCCGCCCCACUCUAAGUGCCCAGAGGCCUCUACCAUCAGACCAGCUGGGGUCCCAAUCCUGGCUUCCCCACGCACCAGACUGGGCAAGUUACUUCCUCUUCCUGAACGCCAAUCUCCUCGUGGGUAAACUGGGGACAGUUACUAGGCUCACCUUAGAGGGCCAUUGUGAGGUUAAAUGCAGUAAUGUGUAUCAAGUGCAAAGGGCAGUGCCUGGCACGUGAGAAGCACACAGUAAUGGUGACUCAUAUCACGCAUCGCUAUGACCAGUCCCUUCCUUGCCCUGACAGUAAGGGAGUAAGAGGAAAGGGGCUAGACCAUUCCAAUAUGCUCACCUUCAGUAAGGUCCUUGAGCUGGACCCCAAUCCACGGUUUUUCCAGACAAGGCCAUCUUGGGUCUUGACACAAGGAUACGAGGAUUUGGGUGGCCGGCUUGAGGAGGGAGGUGCUUCAUGUCCAGAGGCAGGGAUUCCAGUCCCUUAUGGUAUUAAAUGAAUAGUGGCUUAUGUGCCAUGAGCCCCAUAAUAAGGUAUGGAGGCCCAGUGCCUGGUGAGCCAUCGCCCAGAAGCGCACGUCCCAGGAGGCCAAGGCCAAAGUCCUGUGUGUGCUCAAGUGUUUACUGUCUAGCUCACUCUUGGAUAUUGGUUCUGGAGGCAGAACUUGCAGGGCUCCUGGCUCCUCCUUCCCCUUGACAUCCUCCUCCCCCUCCUCCCCUCCCUGCCCCCAUCUCCACCAAUCCUCAGGACCCUCUACUAUUUGGUGGACAAGUGGCCACUGCAAUCUUUAUACCCCUUGGGCGCAGUCACAUUGGGGCCAGACAUGGCUGUCAUAGGCACUAAAGAGUGGCUCUGAACGAGGCCUUCUGGGUUUCGAGCAGCAGGGUGCGAGGGAGGGAAGGCAGGCUGCAGGAGAGGCUUGUGUGUGAGCCAAGUGUUCAGGCAGAUAGGAGGCAAAUUAUCAUGGGUGCCAAACUCCACAGAGCAGCCAAUCCCGCAAACAGCAGCACGAAGUAGUGGAGCCACGAAAACAGUGACAAGCUCCCAAGUUGUGAAGCUGUUAAUGCCCUAAAAUCUCCUGAGUCGUCCCUGCCUCUCACUGCCACUCCUCUCUUCCUUCUGAUCUCUAUUGUCUCACCCCUGGACUGUUGCCACCACCUCCUAAAGGACACAGCUGCCUGGGCGAACUCUUGAAAAUGCUACAGGGACCAGGACACUCGUCUGCUUAAAACCCUUCCAGGCAGAAUGCUUAAAUUUAUUUUGUUUCACAUACCCCUCUGGCUGGCUGGUGAAGCCUGUUGAUUUCUUGCCAGUGUAAUGUUUUUACAUGCAUUAAAUAAAAUGCACUGAAUUGCAGAGGCAACCAAUUAUAUCAAA
Molecule: long non-coding RNA, 8410 nt
Filed under: Equus caballus (horse)
Lineage: Eukaryota; Metazoa; Chordata; Mammalia; Perissodactyla; Equidae
Description: lncRNA (ENSECAG00000058798.1)
Source: RNAcentral